Molecule: ribosomal RNA, 1129 nt
Filed under: uncultured bacterium
Lineage: Bacteria
Description: bacterial SSU rRNA
Rfam family: Bacterial small subunit ribosomal RNA
Source: RNAcentral
GUGAUUAGAGUUUGAUCCUGGCUCAGAAUGAACGCUGGCGGCGUGCUUAACACAUGCAAGUCGAGCGAGGCGGAGGGGGCAACUCCUCUAGCCGAGCGGCGGACGGGUGAGUAACACGUGGGUAACCUGCCCGGAAGUGGGGAAUACCUCGGGGAAACUCGAGCUAAUGCCGCAUAAAAUCUCCGGGACGAAAGUCCUGGCGAUCAAAGCGGGGUCGCAAGAUCUCGCGCUACCGGAUGGGCCCGCGCCCGAUUAGCUAGUUGGUGAGGUAAUGGCUCACCAAGGCAACGAUCGGUAGCCGGCCUGAGAGGGUGAUCGGCCACACCGGAACUGAGACACGGUCCGGACUCCUACGGGAGGCAGCAGUGGGGAAUCUUGCGCAAUGGGCGAAAGCCUGACGCAGCAACGCCGCGUGGAGGAUGAAGGCCCUUGGGUUGUAAACUCCUGUCGGCUGGGAAGAACUCGUACGAUGCUCAUACCAUCGUGCGUUGACUGUACCAGCAAAGGAAGCCCCGGCUAACUCUGUGCCAGCAGCCGCGGUAAUACAGAGGGGGCUAGCGUUAUUCGGAAUUAUUGGGCGUAAAGGGCGCGUAGGCGGCCUUGCGUGUCUUUCGUGAAAUCCCUCGGCUUAACUGAGGACGUGCGGAAGAAACUGCAGGGCUUGAGUCCGGGAGAGGGGGGUGGAAUUCCCAGUGUAGCGGUGAAAUGCGUAGAUAUCAGGAGGAACACCGGUGGUGUAGACGGCUCUCUGGACCGUAACUGACGCUGAGACACGAAAGCGUGGGUAGCAAACAGGAUUAGAUACCCUGGUAGUCCACGCCCUAAACGAUGCAUAUUUGGUGUGGGUCAUUCAGUUGAUCCGUGCCGGAGCUAACGCGUUAAAUAUGCCGCCUGGGGAGUACAGUCGCAAGGCUGAAACUCAAAGGAAUUGACGGGGGCCCGCACAAGCGGUGGAGCAUGUGGUUCAAUUCGACGCAACGCGAAGAACCUUACCUGGGCUCGAACGGCUGGUCAACGCCGGUGGAAACAUCGGUACCCCGCAAGGGGGUCCAGUCGAGGUGCUGCAUGGCUGUCGUCAGCUYGUGUCGUARGAUGUUGGGUUAAGUCCCGCAACGAGCGCAACCMUWUA